Molecule: ribosomal RNA, 253 nt
Filed under: uncultured bacterium
Lineage: Bacteria
Description: partial 16S ribosomal RNA
Rfam family: Bacterial small subunit ribosomal RNA
Source: RNAcentral
UACGAAGGGGGCUAGCGUUGUUCGGAAUUACUGGGCGUAAAGCGCACGUAGGCGGAUAUUUAAGUCAGGGGUGAAAUCCCAGAGCUCAACUCUGGAACUGCCUUUGAUACUGGGUAUCUCGAGUAUGGAAGAGGUAAGUGGAAUUCCGAGUGUAGAGGUGAAAUUCGUAGAUAUUCGGAGGAACACCAGUGGCGAAGGCGGCUUACUGGUCCAUUACUGACGCUGAGGUGCGAAAGCGUGGGGAGCGAACAGG